UGAAUGGAGUGCCUAUUAGGUACU
RNAcentral lists this non-coding RNA (24 nucleotides) under Arabidopsis thaliana (thale cress). Lineage: Eukaryota; Viridiplantae; Streptophyta; Magnoliopsida; Brassicales; Brassicaceae. The record is from RNAcentral.